This 68-nucleotide transfer RNA is filed under the name Lethocerus indicus. Its description in RNAcentral is "tRNA-Pro". The record is from RNAcentral. Lineage: Eukaryota; Metazoa; Arthropoda; Insecta; Hemiptera; Belostomatidae.
CAGUAAGUAGUUUAUUUUUAAAAUGUUAAUUUUGGGGAUUAAUGAAGGGUUUACUUACUCUUUACUGA